AGAGUUUGAUCCUGGCUCAGAAUGAACGCUGGCGGCGUGCUUAACACAUGCAAGUCGUACGAGAACUCUUCUGCUUGCAGAAGAUAGUAAAGUGGCGUACGGGUGAGUAACACGUGGGUAAUCUACCUUUAAAUUGGGGAUAACAACGCGAAAGCGAUGCUAAUACCGGAUAAUAUCUCAGAAACCCCGGUUUUUGAGAUCAAAGGGGGCCUCUAUAUAUAAGCUUCCGUUUGAAGAUGAGCCCGCGUACCAUUAGCUAGUUGGUAGGGUAAAGGCCUACCAAGGCUACGAUGGUUAGCUGGUCUGAGAGGAUGAUCAGCCACACUGGAACUGACACACGGUUCAGACUCCUACGGGAGGCAGCAGUGAGGAAUUUUGCGCAAUGGGGGAAACCCUGACGCAGCAACGCCGCGUGAGUGAUGAAGGCCUUCGGGUCGUAAAGGUCUGUCAAGUGGGAAGAACCCUUUUGAGGUAAAUAGCCUUGAGAGCUGACGGUACCUUUGAAGGAAGCCCCGGCUAACUACGUGCCAGCAGCCGCGGUAAUACGUAGGGGGCAAGCGUUGUCCGGAUUCACUGGGCGUAAAGGGUGCGUAGGCGGAUUUAUAAGUCAGUCGUGAAAGCCCGGGGCUCAACCCCGGAAGUGCGCUUGAAACUGGUAGACUUGAGUGCAGGAGAGGAAAGCGGAAUUCCAUGUGUAGCGGUAAAAUGCGUAGAUAUAUGGAGGAACACCAGUGGCGAAGGCGGUUGUCUGGAUUAUAACUGACACUGAGACACGAAAGCGUGGGGAUCAAACAGGAUUAGAUACCCUGGUAGUCCACGCUGUAAACGAUGAGUGCUAGGUGUCGCGGGUAUUGACCCCUCCAGUGCCAAAGUUAACGCAAUAAGCAUCCCGCCUGGGGAGUACGCACGCAAGGGUAAAACUCAAAGGAAUUGACGGGGACCCGCACAAGCAGCGGAGCAUGUGGUUUAAUUCGACGCAACGCGAAGAACCUUACCAGGGCUUGACAUCCCGAUCGUACCUGCUGGAAACAGUGGGGUCAGUUCGGCUGGAUCGGAGACAGGUGGUGCAUGGUUGUCGUCAGCUCGUGUCGUGAGAUGUUGGGUUAAGUCCCGCAACGAGCGCAACCCUUACUCCUAGUUACCACCAUUAAGUUGGGGACUCUAAGGGGACUGCCGGUGAUAAAUCGGAGGAAGGUGGGGAUGACGUCAAGUCAUCAUGGCCCUUAUGAUUAGGGCUACACACGUACUACAAUGGACUAAACAGCGGGAAGCGAAACCGCGAGGUGGAGCCAAUCCCAGAAAGCCGUUCUCAGUUCGGAUUGGAGUCUGCAACUCGACUCCAUGAAGUUGGAAUCGCUAGUAAUCGCGGAUCAGCAUGCUGCGGUGAAUACGUUCUCGGGCCUUGUACACACCGCCCGUCAAACCACGGGAGUUGAUUGUACCUGAAAUCGGUGGGCUAACCUUCGGGAGGCAGCCGCUUAUGGUAUGGUCGGUGACUGGGGUGAAGUCGUAACAAGGUAACC
Molecule: ribosomal RNA, 1523 nt
Filed under: uncultured bacterium
Lineage: Bacteria
Description: 16S ribosomal RNA
Rfam family: Bacterial small subunit ribosomal RNA
Source: RNAcentral